This 305-nucleotide long non-coding RNA is filed under the name Physcomitrium patens. Its description in RNAcentral is "long non-coding RNA (PPAT_LNC012461)". Lineage: Eukaryota; Viridiplantae; Streptophyta; Bryopsida; Funariales; Funariaceae. The record is from RNAcentral.
AUUGGAGAUUGGAUUCUAGUUUAUGGUAGCAACUUAGAAAAUUAGCAUAUCAUUAUAAAGAAAUUUAUAAAGAAAUGGUUUGAACCAUAUGUGGUAGUUACAAUCCAUGAUAAUGUCACAUAUACCUUAUGUGAGUUAGAUAGAGGUAUCAUUAGGAUCCUAGUAGGAAGAAAAAAAGUGAAGGCUUUCAAGAGAAGAGAUGGGCAAUUCAAAAUACAAGACUUUGAAAAACUUUUACUUCAAUAUUUGGACUAUGAAUAUAUGUAAAAAUUACUUAAAAUAUAUAAAAUGUUUAUAAGUUUGGU